GACGAACGCUGGCGGCGUGCCUAAUACAUGCAAGUUGAGCGAUGAAGAUUGGUGCUUGCACCAAUUUGCAGAGCAGCGAACGGGUGAGUAACGCGUGGGGAAUCUGCCUUUGAGCGGGGGACAACAUCUGGAAACGAAUGCUAAUACCGCAUAAUAACUUUAAACAUAAGUUUUAAGUUUGAAAGAUGCAAUUGCAUCACUCAAAGAUGAUCCCGCGUUGUAUUAGCUAGUUGGUGAGGUAAAGGCUCACCAAGGCGAUGAUACAUAGCCGACCUGAGAGGGUGAUCCGCCCCCUUGGGACUGAGACCCGGCCCAAGCUCCUUCGGGGGGCAGCCGUAGGGAAUCUUCGGCCAUUGACGAAAGUCUGACCGGGCAGCGCCGCGUGAGUGAAGAAGGGUUUCGGAUCGUAAAACUCUGUUGGUAGGGAAGAACGUUGGUGAGAGUGGAAAGCUCAUCAAGUGACGGUAACUACCCAGAAAGGGACGGCUAACUACGUG
RNAcentral lists this ribosomal RNA (497 nucleotides) under uncultured bacterium. RNAcentral's name for it is "partial 16S ribosomal RNA". It matches the Rfam family "Bacterial small subunit ribosomal RNA", at positions 28 to 507 of the family's 1533-position model. The record is from RNAcentral.